Molecule: ribosomal RNA, 301 nt
Filed under: uncultured bacterium
Lineage: Bacteria
Description: partial 16S ribosomal RNA
Rfam family: Bacterial small subunit ribosomal RNA
Source: RNAcentral
CAGUAGCCGCGGGAAUGCGUAGGUGGCAAGCGUUGUCCGGAAUUACUGGGCGUAAAGCGUGCGCAGGCGGUUCGUUAAGACAGAUGUGAAAUCCCCGGGCUUAGCCUGGGAACUGCAUUUGUGACUGGCGAGCUAGAGUAUGGCAGAGGGGGGUAGAAUUCCACGUGUAGCAGUGAAAUGCGUAGAGAUGUGGAGGAAUACCGAUGGCGAAGGCAGCCCCCUGGGCCAAUACUGACGCUCAUGCACGAAAGCGUGGGGAGCAAACAGGAUUAGAGACCCCAGUAGUCCCUGUCUCUUAUAC